This 346-nucleotide transfer-messenger RNA is filed under the name Nitrospiraceae bacterium. It matches the Rfam family "transfer-messenger RNA". From Rfam's summary of the family: Bacterial tmRNA, also known as 10Sa RNA or SsrA, is named for its dual tRNA and mRNA-like properties. Lineage: Bacteria; Pseudomonadati; Nitrospirota; Nitrospiria; Nitrospirales; Nitrospiraceae. RNAcentral also lists the same sequence under 1 other name. The record is from RNAcentral.
GGGGGCGAAUGGGCUCGACGGGGGUUAUGAGGCUCAUGCGGCAUGUCGUGGCUCCAUCACCACGUAAAAAGAUGGAAACAAACACAAACGCCAACAACGAACUGGCACUCGCUGCUUAACUAAGCAGCGCGCCCCUUCGGGACCGCCUGUGGCCCGGGGAAGGCGUCAAUCAGCAGGCUGGUCAAAGGGUGCGCUCCCGGCCCUGAGACGAGACUAAGGGAGAUGGGAUUCCGGGAUGCCUGGCUGACGGCGGUCCGGAGUCCGAGACAGAAGUAGACAGCCUACACAUGUAGAAGCAUGAGAGUAGUGCCUUCGGACGCGGGUUCGAUUCCCGCCGCCUCCACCA